AUUGAACGCUGGCGGCAGGCUUAACACAUGCAAGUCGAGCGAGCGGCGGACGGGUGAGUCAUGUCUGGGAAACUGCCUGAUGGAGGGGGAUAACUACUGGAAACGGUAGCUAAUACCGCAUACCAUCAGAUGUGCCCAGAAGGGAUUAGCUAGUAGGUGGGGUAAUGGCGCACCUAGGCGACGAUCCCUAGCUGGUCUGAGAGGAUGACCAGCCACAAUGGAACGUGGACACUGUCCAGACUCCUACGAGAGGCAGCAGCUGGGAAUAUUGCACAAUUGGCGCAAGCCUGAUGCAGCCAGGCCGCGUGUGUUAAGAAGGCCUUCGGGUUGUAAAACACUUUCAGCGAGGAGGCGUUACUCGCAGAAGAAGCACCGGCUAACUCCGUGCCAGCAGCCGCGGUAAUAC
Molecule: ribosomal RNA, 406 nt
Filed under: uncultured bacterium
Lineage: Bacteria
Description: partial 16S ribosomal RNA
Rfam family: Bacterial small subunit ribosomal RNA
Source: RNAcentral